Molecule: ribosomal RNA, 251 nt
Filed under: uncultured prokaryote
Description: partial 16S ribosomal RNA
Rfam family: Bacterial small subunit ribosomal RNA
Source: RNAcentral
ACGUAGGGUGCGAGCGUUAAUCGGAAUUACUGGGCGUAAAGCGUGCGCAGGCGGUUCGCUAAGACAGGUGUGGAAUCCCCGGGCUUAACCUGGGAAUGGCGCUUGUGACUGGCGGGCUAGAGUCCGGUAGAGGGGGGUGGAAUUCCACGUGUAGCGGUGAAAUGCGUAGAGAUGUGGAGGAACACCGAUGGCGAAGGCAGCCCCCUGGGCCGAGACUGACGCUCAGGCGCGAAAGCGUGGGGAGCAAACAG